GGUCCAUUAACUCAGCUGGUUCAGAGUGUCACGUCGACAACGUGGAAGUCACUGGUUCGAAUCCAGUAUGGACCA
This 75-nucleotide transfer RNA is filed under the name Gelidibacter gilvus. RNAcentral describes it as "tRNA-Val". It matches the Rfam family "tRNA". From Rfam's summary of the family: Transfer RNA (tRNA) molecules are approximately 80 nucleotides in length. Their secondary structure includes four short double-helical elements and three loops (D, anti-codon, and T loops). RNAcentral also lists the same sequence under 8 other names. Lineage: Bacteria; Pseudomonadati; Bacteroidota; Flavobacteriia; Flavobacteriales; Flavobacteriaceae. The record is from RNAcentral.